GACGAACGCUGGCGGCGUGCCUAAUACAUGCCAGUAGAACGCUGAAGGAGGAGCUUGCUUCUCUGGAUGAGUUGCGAACGGGUGGGUAACGCGUAGGUAACCUGCCUGGUAGCGGGGGAUAACUAUUGGAAACGAUAGCUAAUACCGCAUAAUAGCAGUUAUUGCAUGAUAACUGUUUGAAAGGUGCAAUUGCACCACUACCAGAUGGACCUGCGUUGUAUUAGCUAGUUGGUGGGGUAACGGCUCACCAAGGCGACGAUACAUAGCCGACCUGAGAGGGUGAUCGGCCACACUGGGACUGAGACACGGCCCAGACUCCUACGGGAGGCAGCAGUAGGGAAUCUUCGGCAAUGGACGGAAGGCUGACCGAGCAACGCCGCGGGAGUGAAGAAGGGUUUCGGAUCGUAAAGCUCUGUUGUAAGAGAAGAACGAGUGUGAGAGUGGAAAGUUCACACUGUGACGGUAUCUUACCAGAAAGGGACGGCUAACUACGUG
Molecule: ribosomal RNA, 495 nt
Filed under: uncultured bacterium
Lineage: Bacteria
Description: partial 16S ribosomal RNA
Rfam family: Bacterial small subunit ribosomal RNA
Source: RNAcentral